RNAcentral lists this ribosomal RNA (200 nucleotides) under uncultured bacterium. RNAcentral's name for it is "partial 16S ribosomal RNA". It matches the Rfam family "Bacterial small subunit ribosomal RNA", at positions 524 to 724 of the family's 1533-position model. The record is from RNAcentral.
UACGGAGGGUCAAGCGUUAUCCGGAAUCAUUGGGUUUAAAGGGUCCGCAGGCGGUCAAUUAAGUCAGAGGUGAAAUCCCGUCGCUCAACGACGGAACUGCCUUUGAUACUGGUUGACUUGAUUAUAUCGGAAGUAGAUAGAAUAAGUAGUGUAGCGGUGAAAUGCAUAGAGAUUACUUAGAAUACCGAUUGCGAAGGCAG